Molecule: long non-coding RNA, 4012 nt
Organism: Cercocebus atys (sooty mangabey)
Lineage: Eukaryota; Metazoa; Chordata; Mammalia; Primates; Cercopithecidae
Exons: 2
Source: RefSeq, a predicted model, not a curated record
AAAAAGAAAAAAAAGAAAAAAAGUUGCUCUUUUAAGCCACUAAGUUUAGGGGUAGUUUGUUAUGCAGCAAAAGAUAACUGAAACAGUGUAGUGGGAGUCUGGAAUUGUUACAGCCACAUGCAGAGAGUCUAAAGCCAUCCAAAAAGUGAUCAGGACAAAGUCCUCUUAAAUUUGACCUCAAGUAAGACCUCUGAAAUGUCUAAAUUUUAGCUCUGUAAUUUUUUCUUUUCCACUUUAAUUCUACUCGUUUCUAGGCACAAAAGAAAGAUGUUGUGAUCACUUUAGUUGAAGUUCAACAAGCAUGUAUUAUGUGCCUAUCAAGAGUCAGAUACUAUGCUAGGGACUCUGGGCAAACAGCUAAGCAAAAUUUGUUUAAACUCUAGUGGAGGAAACAUGUUUUUGAUAAUUUUAACGCAAAGUGAUCCAUGUUAAGACAGAGCUACAUAUGCAGUGCCCCAGAAGAGGGGUAAUUAACUCACCCCGGGGGUUUGAGGAAGACCCUCCAGAGACAUGAUGCAUAAACUGAGUCAUGCGUGAUAGGUAAGAAGCUGGUAAAAGGAGGGAAGGGCAUUCUGUGCAAAGGGAACAGAGCAUGGUUAGAGCAGAGACAAGCAAAAGGGUGUUGUACUGAGAACUACAGGAACUUUGGUGUUCAGAGAUGGGGCAGAUAGUGGCAGGUGAGUUCACAGGGUGAGGCAGGGUCAGGGAGGAACUUGUAGUCAGGCUGUGCUGGGGAGGCGGGGCAUUACUCUGAAGGUAAUGGGGAAUCAUAGAAGAGAUUACGGAAGGAGAGUGCUUUAGGUUGAUCACUCGGGCUCUAGUGUAGAUCAAAGGUGCUUGAGUGUGUGAAUCUGAGGUUCAUGGGUAGAGUCAAGGCUGAAGAAACACUCGGAAAUUACCGGAACAUAGGUGGAUUAUUACUUCACAAUACAUAUUUUAAGGAUCACUACAUGCUGGGCAUAUCCCAAUGUUUGAAAAAGAUUGUUAUUUACAAAUAUAGGUCUAUUUUGUGUCCCACUUGGCAAAUGCAUCAAAAGGAGGACUCGAUUGCCUUCCUGGAAUUAUUUUUGAAAUAUCUCUGCCUUCCCAGAAACCAGGGAGUACAUAUUCAACUCUAUCUGAGUCUGUGCUGACGUAAAAUUCAGUGAAGAUGAUAUUUUGCAAUUUUCUGAUUCAUGAGUGACUCAUCAAGUCAUCCAAGCCAGUGGUUCAGAAAACACUUGGGACAAGGCCCUAGAGGUGUGACCUUGGUAAACAAUGGAUAUUUAAUAAAUAUUAAUUGUUUUUAAAUCUGCAAAGUAAUCCUAAGAAGUAGAAUUCACUCUGGAAAGGGCAUAAUGAUCUGGUUUGUUAAUUGUGAACAUAUCAUCCAGAAACUUAACUUUGUGCUUUGCAAACCACCUAAAGCACAGCCAGUGACAUUUGUCACAGCACACAAAGGUUUUCGCUUUACCAACCCAGCCCUCGUAUGUAUCGGCCAGAUGCUGUUACCUUUUGUGCUUUCUGAAUGGACUAAGAAGGGGAGGAUUAGAACCAAAGAGUUGGAGGAUUUUGUCUUAAGCAUCUGCCUUAUGGUAAAGCCUUGAGAAAAUCCAGAGGCCUCUUGACACUACCAUGUAAUGGCUUUUCCCAUUAAUGGGAAGCAGAUGGGGUUAAAGGGUUGUCACUAUUGUUUUAAGCAAGAUUCUCACGCAACUUCCUAUAUCAUAUGUUUGCAACAAAGUAAGAAAAUCAUCAUAUAUCCCAUGGGAAGGCCACCCCCUUCACUUUUACACGCCAUGCUUACUUGCCUUUUAUGUUUCUUUUAGUUAGUAAGCAGAAGCUAAACUCUCAAGAGACAAGAAUAAAGUGAAAGAGUUCUAUUGGUUGUCACACUUGGGUCACAAAUUUUCUUGGAAGCUGUGCAAUAAAAGAGAUCAGAACACCAUCGCUUCCCAGAGUGUUUGACCAAUUAUGACAGCAGUGACUGAGUUCCAGAUGGCAGUGGAACCCAUGAAGUCAAGCAUCCAACUCCAUGGUAACUGCUAAGAGGAAACUAAGGAAGUGUGGACCAUGGCUCUUUGCUAAAAGAAGCCUAUAACUUAGUCUGGAAGAUAAUUCUGCAGAACUGUGCUGAAUAACAGUGUAGGGAAAAGAGCCAUCUUAAAGCAACACAUAUCACGUGUCCAUCUGGAACCCACCUGCAAGGCUAGUGUCAUCUGGAUAGAGAGAUUAGGUGAGGAGGUGACAGAUAGGUAGGUGGAGGGUCCUGAAUACCUGACAAGCUGGGCGGUGGGGGCAUUGCCUAAACCAGUCUGUGAGGGGAUACUGUAGCCAGGGGCAUGGAGCGGGAACCUCAAGGAGACAGUGGUGGCUGCAUCAUCAGACAAACCAACCCACUACCUAGAGCCGUGUGCCAGAGCCUCCCAUGGAGAGUGGUCAAGGAUAUGCUCAAAAAGUUGACUGGAGAUUCUCAAAGAGUUACAUUCCUUUUCCUGUGACUCACAUCAGGGAGUGGUGGGGGAACAGGACUUUAUCUCCAAGAUAAAAGUCAAUAGGCCUCAAUUUUGACUUCCAGCUGUGUACUCAGAUCUGUACAGCUGCCUGUCCCUUGUGCAUAGUGAAGGCUCACUAGAUGAUAAUAGCUGGGGUCAGCAGCAUGACCAGUAGAGCAACAGAAUGCAAAGUAGACAUAGGGCUGGAGAGCUUGGAACUGUCCAUGAGUUUGAGGAAGGGGAGGUGCCUCAGGCCGUUUGUUUUAUCUGGAACUAGCCUUGGAUAUGCCAACACUGACAUGUGAAGGGGCAUGAUGAGCUGGACAGCCCCAAGCGUAGAUCGUAACAGGCAGGAGGCACCCUGGGCUUGGCUGUUACACAGGUGUUAUGAGCUUAUAUUGGCUUCGGAGCACAAGGAGUGAGGUUUGUUGGCCUGGUAUAGCCCUGGCCUCAAGGCUCGCUUUUGGAAGUCCCUUUCCUUGGUUUGACUUCUACCAUUUGUGUUUUGAAGUCUGGCUAAAUUGAAUGCCAGAGAUCAGAGUUCAUAUAAAUAACCAGAAGUUAUUGCUUUUGGACAAUCAGAGCUUGUGUCUGAUUGUCCUUACAUCCCAAACACAAGAGAUUUGUGCGUUAGGGGGAGCGUGUGCUUUGCCCUUUGUGAAUGUCUUCACCACGGUAAGAUAAAAACUAGAGUGUUAAACUGUAUCUCUUGGCCCAGUUUAAUAUCUUUGGCUUGGCUAAGAUACUGAGAGUUACUCUGUGCUUCUGAGCAGCCCUCCCUUCCAUGUUCGUAUUCUUAUUGCAGCCGUGGACUCAAGAAAGCUCGUUUGCUCAACUUCUGUUAACAGUGAAGGCCCCUGGAAUCUUUAUAUCCCCCAAAGAAAGAAGACUGUGGGCUACAGUGUCAAUGUUUUAUUAUUUUAUUUUUAAAAAUAAUUUGCUUAUUCCUACUUUUUUCUAAAAAGGACUGGAGUCUGCUCAUAAUGAGAACAUAUGCUACACACUGUUUCCCUCUUUUUUGUUAUUUUUUGCUGUUCUGUUAUUUAUAACAGAGAAACACUUUUAUAUUUUUAAAGCUCAUUCACUAUUUCUUUGGUAAUAUUUCUCUGUUUACUUUUAAAGAAUCUAUAAUUUAUCUCCUACAGUUGAGUCAAAUACUGUAGUCCAGGGUGUGGCAAACUAUGGCUGUUGGCCAAAUCUGGCCAACCACGUGUUUUUGUAAAUAAAGUUUUAUCAGAAUACAGCCAUGGUCAUUUGUUGAUCAUUGUCCAUGGCUCCUUUUGUACUACAAUGGCAGAGUCAGGUAGUUAACAAAGUUAACAGAGUCUGCAAAGCCAAAAAUAUUUCCUAUCUAGCCCUCUACAGAAAAAGUUUGCUAACCCCACUCUAGUUCAUAGUCUAACAUAAUUUUGAAAUAUCCCGAUUGGCACUCUUUGGUGGUAUGUGGCAACAAUCUAUAUUAAUUCUUCUCCAUACCACUGUUACUCUGGCCUUUGAGUUCUAAUUCCAGUCCUCUUUUUUUUUUUUUUUUUUUUUUG